UCACGGAGAGUUUGAUCCUGGCUCAGGACGAACGCUGGCGGCGUGCUUAACACAUGCAAGUCGAACGAUGAACCACUUCGGUGGGGAUUAGUGGCGAACGGGUGAGSAACACGUGGGCAAUCUGCCCUUCACUCUGGGACAAGCCCUGGAACGGGGUCUAAUACCGGAUACUGACCCUCGCAGGCAUCUGCGAGGUUCGAAAGCUCCGGCGGUGAAGGAUGAGCCCGCGGCCUAUCAGCUUGUUGGUGAGGUAAUGGCUCACCAAGGCGACGACGGGUAGCCGGCCUGAGAGGGCGACCGGCCACACUGGGACUGAGAACGGCCCAGACUCCUACGGGAGGCAGCAGUGGGGAAUGUUGCACAAUGGGCGAAAGCCUGAUGCAGCGACGCCGCGUGAGGGAUGACGGCCUUCGGGUUGUAAACCUCUUUCAGCAGGGAAGAAGCGAAAGUGACGGUACCUGCAGAAGAAGCGCCGGCUAACUAC
Molecule: ribosomal RNA, 484 nt
Filed under: Streptomyces sp.
Lineage: Bacteria; Bacillati; Actinomycetota; Actinomycetes; Kitasatosporales; Streptomycetaceae
Description: bacterial SSU rRNA
Rfam family: Bacterial small subunit ribosomal RNA
Source: RNAcentral